This 253-nucleotide ribosomal RNA is filed under the name uncultured bacterium. RNAcentral's name for it is "partial 16S ribosomal RNA". It matches the Rfam family "Bacterial small subunit ribosomal RNA", at positions 524 to 776 of the family's 1533-position model. The record is from RNAcentral.
UACGGGGGGGGCAAGCGUUGUUCGGAAUUACUGGGCGUAAAGGGCUCGUAGGCGGCCAACUAAGUCAGACGUGAAAUCCCUCGGCUUAACCGGGGAACUGCGUCUGAUACUGGAUGGCUUGAGAUUGGGAGAGGGAUGCGGAAUUCCAGGUGUAGCGGUGAAAUGCGUAGAUAUCUGGAAGAACACCGGUGGCGCAAGCGGAUUGCUGGGCCAUAACUGACACUGAGGAACGAAAGCUAGGGGAGCAAAUGGG